UUAAUUGAAACCAAAAUAGAGGUAAAUCACUGUUAAUGAUUUAAAUGAGACUUAGUCUCCAAUUAAA
RNAcentral lists this transfer RNA (67 nucleotides) under Staphylinoidea sp. 6 KM-2017. Its description in RNAcentral is "tRNA-Asn". Lineage: Eukaryota; Metazoa; Arthropoda; Insecta; Coleoptera. The record is from RNAcentral.